This is a long non-coding RNA of Electrophorus electricus (electric eel), 496 nucleotides long. RefSeq lists it as uncharacterized. The record is from RefSeq and is a predicted model, not a curated record. Lineage: Eukaryota; Metazoa; Chordata; Actinopteri; Gymnotiformes; Gymnotidae.
CCUGCGUUACAUCCAUUUCCCUUAAGCAUGGACAAAGCGAAGGUGGAAGUUUUCGGGGACGUGGAGGCAUACAGCUAGCUAGCUAGCUGGCUAUGUUGAAUGCUCAGUGGGGCCAAAUGAAGACCAACAUGCUAUUAUGAAGGUCAUAAGAUGAGAAAUAAAGGUGGCUUUUGUGGGAGGUUGAGAUGACCUUGGUCACCGCCAGCUAAGGACAAGUACUGGAUUAAGGGUAAUGGACUGCCAUGGAGUGUCUUACAUUUGGAAUGCAUCGAGAAAUGAAGACUGCCAUGACUGAUUACAAUGACCUCAGUGGUGCGAGUCAUCCAUUGCCAGCUUGCUGUCUGAUCAUGCAUGAAAAUACAGGUUGAAUUGACAUAAUGGCAGAACGUUGUGAAUCAAGCAAAAAUUGCAAUGACAUAAGGUGUUUAUUAUCCCAAAUUUGUGGAAAACUUGACUGCUGUCUCUUGAUGUAUUAAACUCUCAAUUUAAAAUGCCC